This 481-nucleotide ribosomal RNA is filed under the name uncultured bacterium. RNAcentral describes it as "partial 16S ribosomal RNA". It matches the Rfam family "Bacterial small subunit ribosomal RNA", at positions 30 to 507 of the family's 1533-position model. The record is from RNAcentral.
UUGAACGCUGGCGGCAUGCUUUACACAUGCAAGUCGAACGGUAACAGCACUUCGGUGGCUGACGAGUGGCGAACGGGUGAGUAAUACAUCGGAACGUGCCUAGUAGUGGGGGAUAACUACUCGAAAGAGUAGCUAAUACCGCAUGAGAUCUAAGGAUGAAAGCAGGGGACCUUCGGGCCUUGCGCUACUAGAGCGGCUGAUGGCAGAUUAGGUAGUUGGUGGGAUAAAAGCUUACCAAGCCGACGAUCUGUAGCUGGUCUGAGAGGACGACCAGCCACACUGGGACUGAGACACGGCCCAGACUCCUACGGGAGGCAGCAGUGGGGAAUUUUGGACAAAGGGCGCAAGCCUGAUCCAGCAAUGCCGCGUGCAGGAUGAAGGCCUUCGGGUUGUAAACUGCUUUUGUACGGAACGAAAAGCCCUCUUCUAAUACAGGAGGGUCAUGACGGUACCGGAAGAAUAAGCACCGGCUAACUACGUG